AUGGCGCAUCCGGCCGGACCCGGCGGCGCUGGCGGCAGGAUGUUCCUCCAGGCGACUACGCCGGCGACCGUCUACGACUACGACGCCUACCAGCACCACCACCAGCGGCGACACAUCGGGUACGACGGCUACGGGGCGGCACCCGGCAGGCAGGUGCUGUUCUACCAGCCGCAGCAGCACUACCACCACCAGCACCAGUCGCUGGUCCUGGAGUCGGUGCCGGUGCGCAUGGUCGCCGCGCCAGAGCACCCGGAGGCGUCCGCGGUGGCGACGUCGGGGUCGAAGCGGGUGCGGCUCUUCGGGGUGAAUCUCGAGUGCGCGGCGGACGCCGAGGAGGACUUCAGCGGGCCCGGGAGAACGGCGACAACGGCGCUGCAACUGCUGUCACCGGCCUCCUCCUCAUCGUCGUCGUCCGGGAAAGCGAGGUGCUCUUUGAAUCUUGACUUGUGA
RNAcentral lists this ribosomal RNA (450 nucleotides) under Triticum aestivum (bread wheat). RNAcentral's name for it is "partial small subunit ribosomal RNA". The record is from RNAcentral. Lineage: Eukaryota; Viridiplantae; Streptophyta; Magnoliopsida; Poales; Poaceae.